RNAcentral lists this long non-coding RNA (1234 nucleotides) under Panax ginseng (ginseng). RNAcentral's name for it is "long non-coding RNA (PGIN_LNC009583)". The record is from RNAcentral. Lineage: Eukaryota; Viridiplantae; Streptophyta; Magnoliopsida; Apiales; Araliaceae.
AAAUGGGAACCUAAACGGCAACGAGGCUCCACAAAGACGGCCUGACAUCGACGUUUUACCUUGUAAAGAAGUGAGUAAGUGGGGUUUCUAUGUAAGUCCGCGGGUAGGAAAACUAAAUUUAAUAAAACCUGCCGACUCGUAUACCUAGCUUGGCUACCUCUUUUAAAACUUCAUCUCCUCCCUCCCCUCUCUCUCUGUAUUCCAUAUUCUCCACCUCCUUUUCUCCUUCACUCUCUCACUCCUGCUGUACAUAUAUAUAUAUAUAUAUAUAUAUAUAUAUAUAUAUAUAUAUAUAUAUAUAUAGCAAUGAUCCCGCGCAUGCAUGCAGCUAUCCUCAUGAGAGCUCUUAAUUACAACUUCUGCCUACUGGAAUAUUAGUAGCGUAGAAAGAGGCAAACAGAUUGGAGCCAGGCAACACUAUAUAUUUAUAUAUACCCUACCCCUUUAUUUACUUCUUAAUUUGCUUAGAUUUCACAGAUACUUCUCCCUCUCUGUUAAUUUCUUAUAUAAUUAAUUAAGUAGUCGUUUUACAUGCUUACGUAUAGGUAUUCUUUUCUGAUCUUGAUCAAAUAUCUGUAUAUAUAUAUAGAGAGAGAGACACAAAUCAAACAAGCUUCAUAGGUUGAUAUUCUUCGAAAAAUAAAUAUAUAUUUACGGAAUAUCAACAAGUUUUUAUGUAAAAUGAGAUUCAUUAAUUGACCAUUUGUUUUCUGGAAAUAAUAUGCAGUAUUAACUAUUUAUAUGAAGUCCACAUGAUUUCCGGUUAAUUCUAUUUCUAGCUAGCUGUUCCUUCACAAAGCAUAAUACUGGUACAUUUUAUUUUUUAAAGUUAAUCUCUAGAAUUCAAAAUCGAUAUAUAUGAAUCUAUUUUUUUUCUUAACAAUCUAUACUAUUACAAUUCAAUUUUAGGUGCAUGCCUUUAAUCUUGUGCAGUACAUGUUAAAAUUAUGACUUCUUGUUGAGGGGUGGAUUCAACCUAGCUAUGACCUUGUAUGAAAAAAACACACACUUACCACUAGGAAUAUCACAUGAUUUAACCUUUACAAAUUUAUAUUAAUUCUACUGCAAACAAGUAUAAUUAUUGUAAACUAAAUAAAAAGUACUACACGCGAUUUCAUAAUUAGGAGUAUGUUUGUAAAUUACGAGUUUUAAUGAUAAUUUAAUUUUUCUAGCCUUAUUAUAUAUAUAUUUAUAUAUACACACACAUAAAUAUAUUGGCUAGAAAAAUAGAAGU